This 69-nucleotide transfer RNA is filed under the name Halaelurus buergeri (blackspotted catshark). RNAcentral describes it as "tRNA-Ala". It matches the Rfam family "tRNA". Rfam says of the family: Transfer RNA (tRNA) molecules are approximately 80 nucleotides in length. Their secondary structure includes four short double-helical elements and three loops (D, anti-codon, and T loops). The record is from RNAcentral. Lineage: Eukaryota; Metazoa; Chordata; Chondrichthyes; Carcharhiniformes; Scyliorhinidae.
AAGAUUUUAGUUUAAUUAAAGCAUCUGGGUUGCAUUCAGAAUAUGUGAGAUAGAGUCUUGCAAAUCUUA